This 496-nucleotide ribosomal RNA is filed under the name uncultured bacterium. RNAcentral's name for it is "partial 16S ribosomal RNA". It matches the Rfam family "Bacterial small subunit ribosomal RNA", at positions 29 to 507 of the family's 1533-position model. The record is from RNAcentral.
AUGAACGCUGGCGGCGUGCCUAAUACCUGCAAGUCGAGCGAACGGACGAGAAGCUUGCUUCUCUGAUGUUAGCGGCGGACGGGUGAGUAACACGUGGAUAACCUACCUAUAAGACUGGGAUAACUUCGGGAAACCGGAGCUAAUACCGGAUAAUAUUUUGAACCGCAUGGUUCAAAAGUGAAAGACGGUCUUGCUGUCACUUAUAGAUGGAUCCGCGCUGCAUUAGCUAGUUGGUAAGGUAACGGCUUACCAAGGCAACGAUGCAUAGCCGACCUGAGAGGGUGAUCGGCCACACUGGAACUGAGACACGGUCCAGACUCCUACGGGAGGCAGCAGUAGGGAAUCUUCCGCAAUGGGCGAAAGCCUGACGGAGCAACGCCGCGUGAGUGAUGAAGGUCUUCGGAUCGUAAAACUCUGUUAUUAGGGAAGAACAUAUGUGUAAGUAGCUGUGCACAUCUUGACGGUACCUAAUCAGAAAGCCACGGCUAACUACGUG